RNAcentral lists this ribosomal RNA (429 nucleotides) under Bacillota bacterium. Its description in RNAcentral is "Firmicutes bacterium partial 16S ribosomal RNA". It matches the Rfam family "Bacterial small subunit ribosomal RNA", at positions 355 to 776 of the family's 1533-position model. The record is from RNAcentral. Lineage: Bacteria; Bacillati; Bacillota.
UAGGGAAUCUUCCGCAAUGGACGAAAGUCUGACGGAGCAACGCCGCGUGAGCGAAGAAGGCCUUCGGGUCGUAAAGCUCUGUUGUUAGGGAAGAACAAGUACGAGAGUAACUGCUCGUACCUUGACGGUACCUAACCAGAAAGCCACGGCUAACUACGUGCCAGCAGCCGCGGUAAUACGUAGGUGGCAAGCGUUGUCCGGAAUUAUUGGGCGUAAAGCGCGCGCAGGCGGUCCUUUAAGUCUGAUGUGAAAGCCCACGGCUCAACCGUGGAGGGUCAUUGGAAACUGGGGGACUUGAGUGCAGAAGAGGAGAGUGGAAUUCCACGUGUAGCGGUGAAAUGCGUAGAGAUGUGGAGGAACACCAGUGGCGAAGGCGACUCUCUGGUCUGUAACUGACGCUGAGGCGCGAAAGCGUGGGGAGCAAACAGG